CCUACGGGUGGCAGCAGUGGGCAAUAUUGCACAAUGGGGGAAACCCUGACGCAGCGACGCCGCGUGAGUGAAGAAGUAAUUCGUUACGUAAAGCUCUAUCAGCAGGGAAGAAACACUGACCUUACGGUCAGCAGACGGUACCUGAGUAAGAAGCCCCGGCAAACUACGUGCCAGCAGCCGCGGUAAUACGUAGGGGGCAAGCGUUGUCCGGAAUGACUGGGCGUAAAGGGAGUGUAGGCGGCCUUUUAAGUUAUAUGUGAAAGCCCCCGGCUUAACCGAGGAACUGCAUAUAAAACUGGAGGGCUGGAGUGCAGGAGAGGUAAGCGGAAUUUCUAGUGUAGCGGUGGAAUGCGUAGAUAUUAGGAAGAACACCGGAGGCGAAGGCGGCUUACUGGACUGUAACUGACGCUGAGGCUCGAAAGCGUGGGGAGCAAACAGGAUUAGAUACCCGAGUAGUC
This 458-nucleotide ribosomal RNA is filed under the name uncultured bacterium. RNAcentral describes it as "partial 16S ribosomal RNA". It matches the Rfam family "Bacterial small subunit ribosomal RNA", at positions 338 to 795 of the family's 1533-position model. The record is from RNAcentral.